GAGGAGGAAAGGAAAGGCCGCGGGGGCUUCGAGAGAGUAGGCGGCCUAGGGCCCUGCUCCGGUCGGUCGUCGUGAGGGGCUUCCUUUGGAGUCCACAGGAUUGCAAAGAACGGCUGUUGUUGUUGUUGUUGAUGAUGAUGAUAAUAAGUUUAUUAUUAUUCUAAAUUAUUAUUAUGGAUUAUUAUUAUAUUAUUGUUUGUUGUUGUUUGUUUGUUUAUUAUUAUUAUUAUUAUUAUUUCUCAGGAAAAAUUUGAGGUGUGGAAAUCUGGAUGCUUCCAGCAACCUUGUCCGGUUGCUUCAAUUCGCACCUGGACCCAUUAGGAUUUCUAUUAUGGUUCCACAAUGGAAAAUGCUUUCUGGUUCCACAACUGGUGUUAGCCGCCCUGAGCCCAGCUCUGGCCAGGGAGGGCGGGGCACUCAUAGAAAAGAAAUCAAACAAGCAUCUGCCAGCACAAAAUUGGCAUUGCAUGCCAGAUUACUCUUAUUGCAGAACGUGAUACAGGAGUACCAUGUUUUCAAUAGUAAAUGUAAGGAGGAUUGGGGGGGGGGAUCUAGAAAAACUUUGCAUCCACGUUCAUUGCAAGUAUCCUGAUUUUAUUCCUGUUUAUUUAGAGCUGCAUGUCUGCAAAUUCAGUCGGACUUACUUCACUCAGACUUACCAUGUGUUUAGGACUGAAACCUUACAGAUCCUGAGUUGCUGCUUACUUUCCCACUGCUUAUUUCACCAGUUAUAUAGCCGCACUGAAAAGAAGAUUGCCUUGUAGCCCUGCAAACUUAUAUCUGAAAAGUUGAUCUGAAAAAGCCACUUGGCAGGUUUAGCCAUAAAGCCACAUAUCACUUACCGGCUAGCUUGAGAAAAAGAUACUUUCUGUGGAUUGGCCUCAGAGGAGUUCUCCUAACUAUUUUUGAUGACACUAGUUCUAGUAGUAACCUCAGUGAGUGAGGAAACCAAUGUUAUCUGAGGUUAGCACAGGCUUUUCUGUUUCACCAUGCACUGAGUUUUAUAGUUCCUCAAACACUUUAUAACAGUCUGUAUCACAAUCCAAAAUAUUCAUUAGCAUCUUCUUUUAAGAAUGGCUUUGAUUGAACAUCAAGUUGUCUAUACAUUUGUCUAUACAGUUGUCUAUCCAGUUGAGAGCCAGUGUGGUGUAGUGGUUAAGAGCGAUAGACUCGUAAUCUGGUGAACCAGGUUCACGUCUCCGCUCCUCCACAUGCCGCUGCUGGGUGACCUUCAGCUAGUCACACUUCUUUGAAGUCUCUCAGCCCCACUCACCUCACAGAGUGUUUGUUGUGGGGGAGGAAGGGAAAGGAGAAUGUUAGCCGCUUUGAGACUCCUUCGGGUAGUGAUAAAGCGGGAUAUCAAAUCCAAACUCUUCUUCUUCUUCUUCUACAUCUGCAAGCAUUGCACAUCUUUUAAAAUUAACAUCAACAUGUUAAAUACAUGUGCAAAGCUGCCUUCAGUUCU
RNAcentral lists this long non-coding RNA (1465 nucleotides) under Podarcis muralis (Common wall lizard). RNAcentral describes it as "lncRNA (ENSPMRG00000003900.1)". The record is from RNAcentral. Lineage: Eukaryota; Metazoa; Chordata; Lepidosauria; Squamata; Lacertidae.